AAUGAACGCUGGCGGCGUGCCUUACACAUGCAAGUCGAACGGCAGCACGGGAGCUUGCUCCUGGUGGCGAGUGGCGGACGGGUGAGGAAUACAUCGGAAUCUACUCUGUCGUGGGGGAUAACGUAGGGAAACUUACGCUAAUACCGCAUACGACCUACGGGUGAAAGCAGGGGACCUUCGGGCCUUGCGCGAUUGAAUGAGCCGAUGUCGGAUUAGCUAGUUGGCGGGGUAAAGGCCCACCAAGGCGACGAUCCGUAGCUGGUCUGAGAGGAUGAUCAGCCACACUGGAACUGAGACACGGUCCAGACUCCUACGGGAGGCAGCAGUGGGGAAUAUUGGACAAUGGGCGCAAGCCUGAUCCAGCCAUACCGCGUGGGUGAAGAAGGCCUUCGGGUUGUAAAGCCCUUUUGUUGGGAAAGAAAUCCAGCUGGUUAAUACCCGGUUGGGAUGACGGUACCCAAAGAAUAAGCACCGGCUAACUACGUGCCAGCCGCCGCCGUAA
RNAcentral lists this ribosomal RNA (502 nucleotides) under uncultured bacterium. Its description in RNAcentral is "partial 16S ribosomal RNA". It matches the Rfam family "Bacterial small subunit ribosomal RNA", at positions 29 to 523 of the family's 1533-position model. The record is from RNAcentral.